UACGAAGGGGGCUAGCGUUGCUCGGAAUCACUGGGCGUAAAGGGCGCGUAGGCGGACGUUUAAGUCAGAGGUGAAAGCCCAGGGCUCAACCCUGGAAUUGCCUUUGAUACUGAAUGUCUUGAGACCGGUAGAGGUAAGUGGAACUGCGAGUGUAGAGGUGAAAUUCGUAGAUAUUCGCAAGAACACCAGUGGCGAAGGCGGCUUACUGGACCGGUUCUGACGCUGAGGCGCGAAAGCGUGGGGAGCAAACAGG
Molecule: ribosomal RNA, 253 nt
Filed under: uncultured prokaryote
Description: partial 16S ribosomal RNA
Rfam family: Bacterial small subunit ribosomal RNA
Source: RNAcentral